RNAcentral lists this ribosomal RNA (229 nucleotides) under uncultured bacterium. RNAcentral's name for it is "partial 16S ribosomal RNA". It matches the Rfam family "Bacterial small subunit ribosomal RNA", at positions 568 to 796 of the family's 1533-position model. The record is from RNAcentral.
CAUGUAGGCGGUCUGUCAAGUCUGAUGUGAAGGCCCGGGGCUCAACCCCGGAAGUGCAUUGGAAACUGGCAGACUUGAGUACGGGAGAGGAAAGUGGAAUUUCGAGUGUAGGGGUGAAAUCCGUAGAUAUUCGAAGGAACACCAGUGGCGAAGGCGGCUUUCUGGACCGAUACUGACGCUGAGAUGCGAAAGCGUGGGGAGCAAACAGGAUUAGAUACCCUGGUAGUCC